UCCAGACUCCUACGGGAGGCAGCAGUGGGGAAUAUUGGGCAAUGGGCGAAAGCCUGACCCAGCAACGCCGCGUGAAGGAAGAAGGCUUUCGGGUUGUAAACUUCUUUUGACAGGGAAGAGCAGAAGACGGUACCUGUCGAAUAAGCCACGGCUAACUACGUGCCAGCAGCCGCGGUAAUACGUAGGUGGCAAGCGUUAUCCGGAUUUAUUGGGUGUAAAGGGCGUGUAGGCGGGAAAGCAAGUCAGAUGUGAAAACUAUGGGGGCAACCCAUAGCCUGCAUUUGGAACUGUUUUUCUUGAGUGGUGGGGAGGGAAUCGGAAUUCCGUGGGGAGCGGGGAAAUGCGUAGAUAUACGGAGGAACACCAGGGGCGAAGGCGGAUUGCUGGACAGUAACUGACGCUGAGGCGCGAAAGCGUGGGGAGCAAACAGGAUUAGAUACCCGCGUGCUC
RNAcentral lists this ribosomal RNA (450 nucleotides) under uncultured bacterium. RNAcentral describes it as "bacterial SSU rRNA". It matches the Rfam family "Bacterial small subunit ribosomal RNA", at positions 330 to 796 of the family's 1533-position model. The record is from RNAcentral.